This 76-nucleotide transfer RNA is filed under the name Methylogaea oryzae. RNAcentral's name for it is "tRNA-Gly". It matches the Rfam family "tRNA". Rfam says of the family: Transfer RNA (tRNA) molecules are approximately 80 nucleotides in length. Their secondary structure includes four short double-helical elements and three loops (D, anti-codon, and T loops). RNAcentral also lists the same sequence under 1 other name. Lineage: Bacteria; Pseudomonadati; Pseudomonadota; Gammaproteobacteria; Methylococcales; Methylococcaceae. The record is from RNAcentral.
GCGGGUGUAGCUCAGUUGGUAGAGCCCCAGCUUCCCAAGCUGGUUGUCGCGAGUUCGAAUCUCGUCGCCCGCUCCA